UCGGAAUUACUGGGCGUAAAGGGCGCUUAGGCGGCACUGUUAGUCAGGCGUGAAAGUCCUGGGCUCAACCUGGGAACUGCGCUUGAUACGGCAGAGCUAGAGGAUGGAAGAGGCUCGCGGAAUUCCCAGUGUAGAGGUGAAAUUCGUAGAUAUUGGGAAGAACACCGGUGGCGAAGGCGGCGAGCUGGUCCAUUACUGACGCUGAGGCGCGACAGCGUGGGGAGCAAACAGG
Molecule: ribosomal RNA, 232 nt
Filed under: uncultured bacterium
Lineage: Bacteria
Description: partial 16S ribosomal RNA
Rfam family: Bacterial small subunit ribosomal RNA
Source: RNAcentral